Long non-coding RNA from Gallus gallus (chicken), 1363 nucleotides. Lineage: Eukaryota; Metazoa; Chordata; Aves; Galliformes; Phasianidae. The record is from Ensembl.
AAACAAUGCAUCUGAGUGAUUGGAAGGGCUGCAGCCAGGAUCCACCCCUUCCAGCCCUCAUUUAAGGGCUGGCAGUGGAAGUGUGGGCAUCUCUCUUUAGAGGUCCUUGCUUAUCUGGGUCUUCUGAAGGGAGCUGUGAUUACAGCAGAUGGAUGUGCAGGGCUGCGUGCUCUCCUCAGAUGCACUGAGGACCUCCAGUCAGGUGAAUGGGGCCUGAGCUCCUCCAGGCAGCACAGUCCUGCCACAACAGAGUCAUCAAACAGCAAAAGGUGAAAGAAACAGCUUCUUCCUUGGCUGACCAUUUGACUCAGCCUGAGUCAGCAGCACAAAGGCAACGUGCUGUGUUUCCUCGAGCCCUGCAGCAGCACACUGCACCAGGGAAGCACUGCGGUCAGCCAGAAGUUCUUGGACAGACGGUGGGAGUUAAGUGCAUGAAAUCCAACACUCCGUGUCAUAUACCAGAGGCUGAGCCAGCUCAUCCAGCUCGAAACUCCGACUAAAAACAUCAUCUAAAAACAGCUCCUCGUGCUGGUGCCCAGAGGGGAGGAGCAGAACCCAGCGGGCACAGACGGAGCUUCAAUAAAUAGCGGAGCCUACAGGACCGGGAGGGGAUGGGAAGGAUGUCACAAUGACAGCAGCAGCUCUGCACAGGUUGGGAUGCAGGAUGUGCAGCUGCCAUGCACCCGGUGCACCCUGCACAUGGCUGUGGUGAGGUCACAGCUCCCCUGCAGCCUGGCCGGCUCUUGGAGCUGGUAAUGAAUGCUACAAGAGUAUCAUGGUUUUCUUAUUACCAAUUAAAUGAGCUUUCCCGGGGUUGAAAACCAAUCAUUUUUCUUUCAAAGCUUCAUGUAUUAGAUAGACACAGCAUUAAAAAAAACCACAACACAGGACAUUUGAAAUGCUGUGUUUACUCUUCUCUUCGGAGGAGCUCAACUGUUCUCUGCUGGGAUGCACAUAAGGCCCAUAUUUCCACUCUAGGUAUUUUUGGUCAGAAGGAGAAGAUAAAUAGUGCACUCCAAACGUCACACUUCAGCCGGCCCCAGCUAACUUUGGGCAAGAAAACCUCACACGGAACACCAGCGCAUUUUGAGCCUGAACUGUAAUUCUCUUCUCCUGGCAGGAAUUUGUUGCUAAUCGAGCCUAUCUGCAGCAUGGGAACCAACGAGUGAGGGCUGAAACCAAGGCUGUCAGACUCACUUCACUUACUGGUUAUGAAAUGGGACAAAACAGACCCAGAGUCACACGGAAACAUGAGCACGGCGGUGACACGGCCUUCCAUGCACAGCGUCAGCACUAAAAACAGCAUAUAGAUGGUUUGGGAAGUUAUAAACACCGACCUCAUGAUUCUAUUCUGGGUUGGUCC